Orcinus orca (killer whale) is the source of this 1461-nucleotide RNA transcript. It is a transcript of the gene named chromosome 19 C17orf114 homolog, with no coding region annotated. The transcript has 3 exons. The record is from RefSeq and is a predicted model, not a curated record. Lineage: Eukaryota; Metazoa; Chordata; Mammalia; Artiodactyla; Delphinidae.
GGAGGCCUCAGGAAGGUGACCUGCUUUGCAGAACCCUGCCCGCCAUCGCACCCCACGGUCUUCCAUCUCCCACAGGUCCCCCGCUACCCCCCACCUGGCUCCCGCUGACUCCCCGUCUCUCUGAUUAUGGCUCAUCGGUCUGCAACGUCCUGCCAACCCGCCUCUAAUCUCCAUCCCCUAUCUCGAUCCUUCCUGCAUCCAGAAUGCCUGAGUCCCGCCUCCCGUCCCGUAACCAGGGUGCCGAGGAACACCCGGCCAGGCCCGGAUGGCCCCGAAGUGGGGCAGAGCAGAAGCCAGGGGAGGGGCCCCGGGGGUUGCCAGGGGUCCCGAGCCACCGGGGCUCCAGCCAGGCCAAGCCAGCUGGAAGAAGGGGUCCAGGCGGGAAUGAGGAAGUUAUGCGUUCCCCGCCCGGGAGGGAAACCCCGAAAUCUGAGCAUGAGGCUGAGUCAGGAGGACCCGCAGCCCAAGCUCAUUCCCGUCCCCGCCCGAUUUCCUGGGCCCGGCACCUCCGCGGCGUCCCCUCCCCGGCCCCCUCACCCGGGCAGCCGAGCCGGAGGCAGCGCAGCAGAGUCAGAGCCGGAGCCCACAACCCAGAGGGCCAGGGCGGGGCGGGCGCUCAGGGCCUGCCCUUGGGGGCGGGACGGCCCCCGGCCUCACCUCCUCCGGAUUCUCGUCGGUCCUGUCCCGCCCCCGCCGCCCUCGGCCUGUCCUUGCAGUCCUGCGUGCGGCCUGGGCGCUGGGGCCGCCCUCGGCUCUGCGGGACGGCGCUACCCUCCCCGUGCAUCGGUGCGGCGCCGUCUGCCGGGCUGUCAGUCUGUCCCGCGCCGUCGGUCCGUGCAGGCCCGCUCCUCCCUGUGGGCCCUCGGCCCUGCGCACCCUCCUCCGCUCGGGCGCCGGCCCCCCCGGGGCCUCUCCGGCCACCGAUCCCGCCAGGGCCCCUGGCGGGACGCGCCUCCGCGGCAGGGACCUGGCUGUGUCCCCUUCCCGGGCCGGCUGAGAACCGCAUUGGCAUUUGUAGAUGGAAGGAAUGACGGAAGGCCCGAGGGCUGGUGGCCACAAAUUCAUUAACAUGGAAGAGUGGGCUGAUGGAUAUUUCUUCACGGACAUUUGGGUUGUUUCUAGUUUUUGCCUGCUGCGAAUAAAGCUCCUAUAAACAUUCCUGGGCCUGGAUCCAGCUGUCCCCCCAGAUCCAGAUCCCAGCCCAGCUGUAGCCUCCAUCGUGGCUGAGGGAGGGUCCCUUGGGUCUGGCGCCUACUUCAGCAGGAAAGCCCGUCUCUCCUUCCGCCACCAGCUGCAUGACAUAGCAUCGGCCAACGACUCCACCAUUUGAAGGGGACAACCAAGGGCUGAACUUCCAGGAGGCCUUGGCAACCUUCCUUCCCCCGCCUUCUCAGUCAUCCCAGUGUCCAGCUCCCUCAGAUCCCUCAUGACCUUCUUAUUAAAUACACUGAGAAUUGCCAA